AGAGUUUGAUCCUGGCUCAGAACGAACGCUGGCGGCAGGCUUAACACAUGCAAGUCGAACGCCCCGCAAGGGGAGUGGCAGACGGGUGAGUAACGCGUGGGAACAUACCCUCUCCUGCGGAAUAGCUCCGGGAAACUGGAAUUAAUACCGCAUACGCCCUACGGGGGAAAGAUUUAUCGGGGAAGGAUUGGCCCGCGUUGGAUUAGCUAGUUGGUGGGGUAAAGGCCUACCAAGGCGACGAUCCAUAGCUGGUCUGAGAGGAUGAUCAGCCACAUUGGGACUGAGACACGGCCCAAACUCCUACGGGAGGCAGCAGUGGGGAAUAUUGGACAAUGGGCGCAAGCCUGAUCCAGCCAUGCCGCGUGAGUGAUGAAGGCCUUAGGGUUGUAAAGCUCUUUCACCGGAGAAGAUAAUGACGGUAUCCGGAGAGGAAGCCCCGGCUAACUUCGUGCCAGCAGCCGCGGUAAUACGAAGGGGGCUAGCGUUGUUCGGAAUUACUGGGCGUAAAGCGCACGUAGGCGGAUAUUUAAGUCAGGGGUGAAAUCCCAGAGCUCAACUCUGGAACUGCCUUUGAUACUGGGUAUCUUGAGUAUGGAAGAGGUAAGUGGAAUUCCGAGUGUAGAGGUGAAAUUCGUAGAUAUUCGGAGGAACACCAGUGGCGAAGGCGGCUUACUGGUCCAUUACUGACGCUGAGGUGCGA
RNAcentral lists this ribosomal RNA (700 nucleotides) under uncultured Pseudomonadota bacterium. Its description in RNAcentral is "bacterial SSU rRNA". It matches the Rfam family "Bacterial small subunit ribosomal RNA", at positions 8 to 756 of the family's 1533-position model. Lineage: Bacteria; Pseudomonadati; Pseudomonadota. The record is from RNAcentral.